Molecule: transfer RNA, 67 nt
Filed under: Marmota monax (woodchuck)
Lineage: Eukaryota; Metazoa; Chordata; Mammalia; Rodentia; Sciuridae
Description: tRNA.Ala
Source: RNAcentral
GGUUGUGGCUCAGUAGUAGAGUGCUUGCCUAGCAUAUAUGAGGCACUGGGUUCGAUCCUCAGCACCA